AUGCUAAUCUAUAUCUAAUUAAAACUUAAGCAUGGAUAUGAUGAAUAGUUGCUCUGCCUAAUUUGCACAUUUUAAGUUCUCUCUCAAGUUUAGAUAUAACUGUGAUAAUUUAAAGCUUGCUCUAGACCUAAACUUGUGGGAUGAAAACUUGAUCUGAAGUCUAAGUUGUUAACAGAUACGAUAUGGGAAGGUUGAGCUGCUAUUUAUCUGUUCCUAGAGAUGCUAGAAUUCUGGAGAAUUUUAUUUUUGAAAAUCUUUUAAAAUGUUGCCUGAUGAGUUCCUGUAUGAUGAGAGUUUAAAUUCCUACCACAACCAUAUAUACAUGCUUGCUAGACUUUGAGCCACACAUUUACUAUUUACUGCUUAUGAGCAUUGAGUGUGGUCAAGCUGUGUAGACCCUUAGGAACUUGUCAUGUGGUUAAAUCAAGAUUUCACUUGCACGUUCACUCAUAUAUGCUACUUCUACUCCGGAAGUACCAUCCACCUAUAUCCAUCCAUUUCCAUCUCCAGAAUCACCCAAAAAUAUUCUACUCCUAAUCUGGGAGAGAAUAACCAAAAAUAUUUCUGUUUUUCCCUUGUGAAAUAAAUGCUCCAGUUAUCUUGUUACUACCACUUGCUAUAUUAUCUCAUGAGAUGAGUGCUUUCUAAAAAAAAGAGAGAGAUACGAGGAAAUAAAAAGGAGCAAGUGCUCAGAACCUCGGAAGAAAAAGAAAAAGUGAGACGAGAGGUAAAAAUGGACAAGUGUCCGACAGUAGAAUUAGGGGUGCAAGAUACCCACCUGAGAGAAAAGAAAAAGAAGAGCAUCUCAUUCUCCUCAUAAAGUUUCAAAAGCAAGAAAGGUAUGUAUCCCCUCAAAAAAGCAAAGUAGAAUUAGACUUCCACCACCAUUGUUUUCGCUAUCGUUAUCACCAUCAUCACCAUACAUCAUUCAUUCGCCACACAUGCACAUCUUGAUUUGGCUUAUUGGCUUGUUUCUUUGGAUCCAUGGUUUGACUAUGCAAUACAUGUCUUGUAAGUAUGUAUACUUUAUCUCCCACCUAUGAGCUCCAGAUAUUAAAGCCUUAUUAGAGUAGGGUGAGAGAGAAGACAAUGUCACUAUGCUUCAUACCACAAAUACUACAUAUCUUGAGAGAAGGCAUAUACCAUUACUGCUUUGGUAAGGAUCCAGAAAUACCACAAAAGAGAGAUCUGAGAGAAUCAUACAAGGAAUCUCUGAGUUUUAUUUGAAAAUCUGCAAAAAAAACCCAGAGCUAUAGCUGAUCAAGAAUAAGAGACAUGGCACUUGACUAGACUGUUCUAUCUUUUAACUACUCAAGAUAGAAGUGACGGUUACAAGUCCCAUGGUGAAGGUAAAGUAAGUAAGUUUUAAGUCUUGACAGUUUACUCUAACUCAGAGAUGAGAUCUUAUUUAAAAAGCAUGUGUACUGCCAAUUUUUUUUUUUUUUAAAAAAAUAAUAAUAUUGCAACAACUUAUGAUCCAUAGCUGAGUCUAUCCUUGCUCAGGGACGAGCAAGAGGUAAGCUUGGGGGAGUUUGUUGACGGUCCUUAAGUAUCAAAUUUAAUUAUCAAAUAAAUAAAGAAAAGGAUCCAAAUGAAAUCAACAUCUAAACUUAGGGUUUUAUCUGACAGAAUUCCACGAGUUUUGGUGUUUGUCUAUUUCUGCAGGGGGUUAUCAGGAAAUACGGAAAGAAAGGCCCACACGUCGGGAUUACAUAGAGAUAUUAACGUGCCGCACAAUUAUCUUACAUCUAGAAGACUCCAGAAGCCACGAGACCGAAGCGGAGGCGAAACGGGGCGUGACCCUGGGCGCCCGCCCAGUUGAUCAGGGCGCCCGCCCAGUUGAUCAGGGCGCCCGCCCUGCCUCUGAGUCCAAUCAGGACUCUGCUUUGCGGGAGAUCUCCACCGACCUAAAGGAUGAAUCUAAACCAUACAAUCUAUGUCAGUUUGAUCCAACGGCCCAUAUUCACUUGAAGGGACUAUAAAACCAGACCCCCUGGCCCCUGGAGGAGAGAGCCUCUCAACCCUAAUUCAUUGUUCCAUCAAGGGAGAAGAAGCCUCUGAUCAAGAUUAGAGCCACCACAUCAAUUAGAUAUCUAGAUUAGCAUAGCUACAUAGGAUUAGAACUAGAAGGAGUCAAUCUUCGAUUGGUUUCCGGAUCUGUCAAGAAGAUUCUUGGUAAUUCUCUAAUUGUGCUUCUAAUUCCUUUCUAAUUAUCUUUAUUCUUCAAUAUUAUGAAUAUGACUUUGUUCUACUUCAAUAUAUUGCUUAUGACUUUGCUCUACUUGCUUAUAUUCAAGAUUAUAUUGUUCUUAGUUUAUCAU
RNAcentral lists this long non-coding RNA (2321 nucleotides) under Sorghum bicolor (sorghum). Its description in RNAcentral is "long non-coding RNA (SBIC_LNC018433)". Lineage: Eukaryota; Viridiplantae; Streptophyta; Magnoliopsida; Poales; Poaceae. The record is from RNAcentral.